RNAcentral lists this transfer RNA (70 nucleotides) under Marmota monax (woodchuck). RNAcentral's name for it is "tRNA.Ala". Lineage: Eukaryota; Metazoa; Chordata; Mammalia; Rodentia; Sciuridae. The record is from RNAcentral.
AGUUGUGGCUCAGCGGUAGAUCACUUGCCUAGCAUGUGGGAGGCCCUGGGUUCAAUCCUCAGCACCACUG